AACAGGAUUAGAUACCCUGGUAGUCCACGCCGUAAACGAUGUCGACUUGGAGGUUGUUCCCUUGAGGAGUGGCUUCCGGAGCUAACGCGUUAAGUCGACCGCCUGGGGAGUACGGCCGCAAGGUUAAAACUCAAAUGAAUUGACGGGGGCCCGCACAAGCGGUGGAGCAUGUGGUUUAAUUCGAUGCAACGCGAAGAACCUUACCUACUCUUGACAUCCAGAGAACUUUCCAGAGAUGGAUUGGUGCCUUCGGGAACUCUGAGACAGGUGCUGCAUGGCUGUCGUCAGCUCGUGUUGUGAAAUGUUGGGUUAAGUCCCGCAACGAGCGCAACCCUUAUCCUUUGUUGCCAGCGGUUCGGCCGGGAACUCAAAGGAGACUGCCAGUGAUAAACUGGAGGAAGGUGGGGAUGACGUCAAGUCAUCAUGGCCCUUACGAGUAGGGCUACACACGUGCUACAAUGGCGCAUACAAAGAGAAGCGACCUCGCGAGAGCAAGCGGACCUCAUAAAGUGCGUCGUAGUCCGGAUUGGAGUCUGCAACUCGACUCCAUGAAGUCGGAAUCGCUAGUAAUCGUAGAUCAGAAUGCUACGGUGAAUACGUUCCCGGGCCUUGUACACACCGCCCGUCACACCAUGGGAGUGGGUUGCAAAAGAAGUAGGUAGCUUAACCUUCGGGAGGGCGCUUACCACUUUGUGAUUCAUGACUGGGGUGAAGUCGUAACAAGGUAACC
RNAcentral lists this ribosomal RNA (730 nucleotides) under uncultured bacterium. RNAcentral's name for it is "bacterial SSU rRNA". It matches the Rfam family "Bacterial small subunit ribosomal RNA", at positions 771 to 1501 of the family's 1533-position model. The record is from RNAcentral.